CCAUAUUCUUUUAUUUUGAGUAAUAUGCUUAUUUACUAGAUUCUAGAAUAGGUGUGAACAAAUCUUUUCUUAUAUUGAAGUAUGCAGUGUUGUUUACUGAUUUCUAUACUAUCUAUGUUAACAGUGAUAUUCUUUUAAACAAGACAUUGCGCUAACACUUAUGGAAUUUGAGCUUAGCUUCAGGGUAGAGUUCCCGUUUUCGGCUUUAGUGAGUUUGAACAAGCAGUGUUGUAGCUUCAGGGUAGAGUUCCUUACAAUAGUGGAAGUGAGUUUGAACAAGCAGUGAGGUGUUGUUACUAUUCUUUUCUUAGUUGUUCACAAGCAGUGAGGUGUUGUUACUAUUCUUUUCUUAGUUGUUCACAAGCAAGGAGUAGAUCGAGAGAACUAGUGUACGAGAACAAGAAGCAAGGCAAUUAGGAAGUGAUUAAAGUCUCGGGAUAGCGGUGCCUAGCUUACUUAUGAAUCUAAGGAGUGAGUUUCAGAGUUAUAGGUUACAAAUUAUUAUAGAGUAGGGAGGAGCAUAGUGGGCAGCUCAAGUGUUCCGUGCACAGUAAUAUGGAAUAGCGUAAAAACACAGCUCUGACUUUAGCUACGAAAGGAGUUGCCCUCACCUUUACUUGAGCGUAGAAAAGAUGAGCGUAGAAAAGAGUCAAAUGCUCUAACUUGAGUGAGCGGGUGCGCCGGGCAAUAAAUCAGAAUAUCGGUUUGGUGCUUUCCCUUGUAGUGGUCCAGUCCAAGCAUGUUGGUUCAGGUAAAGCAUUAGAAGGCUUCUUUCUAGUAGACAAUACUUGCCCCUUCCCUCCAACUUCAGUAAACUGCGUAGUGAACAACCAACCCCUAUUUAUUGUCUCUGUGAACUACCCCUAUCUAUGGUCUCUGUGAACAACCCUCUUUCUGGUCGUUUAACAUGGGUUCAACUCAUAUUAUAGCUCAUCCCAUUGUUUGUUGUACUCGAUCAUACUAAAGAGUAACUCAGUAAGCGCUUAAUUAAUAGUUGUUUGUUGAUUAGCCCUCUUGCUCUGCUCUUGACUUCCUUUCUCCUUUACCUUCAAGCUGUGGUGCACUAAAUGCUCCUCUUCCUUUGCACUCACAUUCCACAAGUCAAAUAGAACAAGCAACGAAAUAAACAAAUGGAAAUGGAACUCGCUUAUGGUUACUUCAUACUUGUGCGUUAUCGAAUGACUCGGUAAAUAGGCUAUCAUAUUUGCUUUUGCACUCAAUUCCUUUGACUUUAGUUUGAAACCCCCCACCCAGAUUGAGUUCCCGCUGACAAACGACUCUUCCUUGAUACCGUGUAGUGGGCUAAGCAUUCUAAAGGAGCUUGGGUCUUUCGAGACUACAACUUGUAUUUUUCAAUCCAAAACCACUCAUUCUGUUCCUUAUGGGAUUAGGGACCCUCUAUCAGGUUAAUGCUUUUUCUCAUUGGUUUAUGGCCCUGGGUGGAUUUCUUUCUGGCAUUUCGUCAAGUGAUUUUCAUCGUGGUACUACUAGUCACUCUUUUCGGCACAUCAUAGGACUUACCAUCUUAUGUCGAAUCAGCUUCAGAGGAAUCCCUUGAUCCCAGAAGUCAGACCUUUCCCAUAGGUGGUGGGGAAUAACAAAAGUGCAUUCAUUCCAAAGAUAACAAAUAGAAGCAUUAUACAUUCAUUCCAAAGAUAACAAAUAGAGCAUUAUAUUGAAACUAACCACUCAUAAUCCAAAUAGUGAUCUCUCAGUCUAUCACCGCACUAUACAUGUCCUAUUCUCAUAGUAUCCAAUAACUGGAUCAGAAGCAAGCCUGAGCAGGAAUGGAUUUGAAUUGCAUAUUUCGAGCGCAUGCCGUAUAAGGUAGGAAUUUAGGAGCAUUGCCAACUUUCUCCGUUAAUGCAGUCAAGACAAAGACAGUUUAGUCAGAAGGCAUACAGUCAUCUUUAGAUUCGAGCGAAGAAGCCAGAGUAGGAGCAGGAUUAGGAACAUCACUUCACUUCGAUGUACUAUAUUCUUUCACAUAACAGAACUUCGAAUUGGAGUUUGGGCCAGCGAAACAUACUAUAUGGGGCAAACAUUUCUUUCAAUUGAUCAACAACUAGCUUACUCACACUCGGCGCGCAACUCAUUCUUAUACUUGUUCCCUUGCUUUCGAUCUACCACAUCGGCCGAGCAACUAGCUACAGCGGGAUUGGACGUCUCUCCAUCUCAUCACGCUCCCCUACAACUAUAAAAGGCCGGCGGAAGGAAUGCUCAGCUCAUCUUUCUUAUGUGACCGCAGCGCUCGUUCACCCCUUCGGCUUCUUUCAUUCAAAAAGGUCGGUCGGUCGUUUUUCCUAUUCUUAUUUGUCAAUCUCGUCUUUAAGCGAAGGCAUUAUUGAACGAAAGAGAUGUCUGGUAGGUCAAUUGCAUUAGGUAUGGGAUGCAGUACCUGUCUUAACCGCAAGUGCAUUCGCUAUUCGAGGAUAGAAUAGAACCCGGGCAUACGAGCCUGUUACUACUGUUUAUCGUCCCGACAUCCUUUGCUUUGAUUCCAAAGUAUGUAUCUCUUCUUGACUUUGUAAGUGACAAGGGGGGUUACAAACUGUCCACUUUCUUCUCUAUGUUACCGUCUCAUCCAUGAGCGUAGAUUUCUAUAGAUGUUGCCGUCUCAUCCAUGAGAUUUCUAUAGAUUGCUUU
Molecule: long non-coding RNA, 2646 nt
Filed under: Musa acuminata (dwarf banana)
Lineage: Eukaryota; Viridiplantae; Streptophyta; Magnoliopsida; Zingiberales; Musaceae
Description: long non-coding RNA (MACU_LNC010924)
Source: RNAcentral